Molecule: ribosomal RNA, 443 nt
Filed under: uncultured bacterium
Lineage: Bacteria
Description: partial 16S ribosomal RNA
Rfam family: Bacterial small subunit ribosomal RNA
Source: RNAcentral
CCUACGGGUGGCUGCAGUGGGGAAUAUUGGGCAAUGGGCGCAAGCCUGACCCAGCAACGCCGCGUGAAGGAAGAAGGCUUUCGGGUUGUAAACUUCUUUUCUCAGGGACGAAGAAAGUGACGGUACCUGAGGAAUAAGCCACGGCUAACUACGUGCCAGCAGCCGCGGUAAUACGUAGGUGUCAAGCGUUAUCCGGAUUUAGUGGGUGUAAAGGGAGUGUAGGCGGGGGGGCAAGUCAGAUGUGAAAACUCAGGGCUCAACCGUGAGACUGCAUUUGAAACUGUGGUUCUUGAGUGCUGGAGAGGCAAUGGGAAUUCCGGGUGGAGCGGUGAAAUGCGUAGAUAUACGGAGGAACACCAGUGGCGAAGGCGAAUGGCUGGACAGUAACUGACGCUGAGGCGCGAAAGCGUGGGGAGCAAACAGGAUUAGAUACCCGAGUAGUC